AGUAGAGGCCUCCCUUCCGCAGAGGUGGCGCGGGCUGUUCGGCUACCCGGCGAGGUCCGCGCGCAGCCGGCCCGGCGCGCGGUUUCCCCGGCCGCUGUCUCCCGCUGCAGGCGGCGGCGCCGGGCCUCGGAGGCUUCUAAUGUGAGGAAAAACAUGGAAUGACAAGUGUGGGAAAGAGCAAGCACUAAAUUACUGUCAGAAAAAUAAACGGAGCAGCACAGUGGUGCUCCGUGAUUUACGGGGGCAAUUAGUCACCACCCCACAGCGCUGCUGAGGACGGCCUGGCAGCAGACACAUCAGCCCACGAGGAGGAAGAGGCUCUGCACUAAGCUCCAGAUGACUUUUCAAACAAGAGCGAGUCUGUGAGCACACGAGAGUCUGUGUGUUCAUUCUGGGUGUCUACCCUUCACACUCCCUACCAGCUUGAUAAAUAAACAGACUUUUCGUGC
This 449-nucleotide long non-coding RNA is filed under the name Mus pahari (shrew mouse). RNAcentral's name for it is "lncRNA (MGP_PahariEiJ_G0004567.1)". The record is from RNAcentral. Lineage: Eukaryota; Metazoa; Chordata; Mammalia; Rodentia; Muridae.